Nothobranchius furzeri (turquoise killifish) is the source of this 538-nucleotide non-coding RNA. NCBI's taxonomy places the organism in Eukaryota, Metazoa, Chordata, Actinopteri, Cyprinodontiformes, Nothobranchiidae. The record is from RefSeq and is a predicted model, not a curated record.
AUGUAGCGUUGUUCAGGAAUAACGACGCAGACACAGGAGCUUUAGUUUCAGCAGAGAGCCUGCCUCUGACGGGACGAACGGAACGUUUAGAGCAGCGUUCACUCACAGAGGCGGUCCGCGUGCGUUAGCGAGGUUAGCCCAAAGACCGAAAUACGGUUAAAACGCACAUCCAGGUAAAUACACACAUCCAGGUAAAUACACACAUCCAGGUAAAUAUACACAUCAAGGUAAAUACACACAUCCAGGUAAAUACACACAUCAAGGUAAAUACACACAUCCAGGUAAAUACACACAUCAAGGUAAAUAUACACAUCAAGGUAAAUACACACAUCCAGGUAAAUACACACAUCCAGGUAAAUACACACAUCCAGGUAAAUACACACAUCAAGGUAAAUAUACACAUCAAGGUAAAUACACACAUCCAGGUAAAUACACACAUCAAGGUAAAUACGCACGUCCAGGUAAAUACACACAUCAAGGUAAAUACACACAUCCAGGUAAAUACAGACAUCCAGGUAAAUACACACAUCAAGGUAAA